UGUCAUCUUUUCUAAACUAAAGGUGUUAAUUACAUUUUAUAUUUUGAAUGAUUAUCUUCCAGCUAAAAUAACUGUAUUUACCUAAGUGAAUAAUUUAAGAAUUAUUUCUGUCAAAAUCAGUGACUUAUUUCCUGCAUCUGAUGUGUUUUAUGUUGUCAUUGACGUGCCAGAGCCUCAAGGAUUUUGAGUGUUCUAUAUACAGUGUGGCUGCUCGUACUCCUGUUUAUAUUGUAUUAUAUCGUACAAAAUUUGCUUGCCUGCCUAAUCUAGGACCCGUGUAUGGUUCCCAUCUUUUGUCAGUUGGCAUGCUAGUUCCUCUUGUAAUAUCUUGCAUGAUGAUUGCUGCAUAUUCAUGCCCCCAACUCAAGGCAUCCGUGCUUCCUAUCGUGAGCAUUGAAUCUCCAUGUGUCUGACAGUUUUUCUCAAUUUCAUCAUGUAUACAUAGUUGAGAUCCAAUGUGGUUUUUAGAAAUAGUCCAUAUAAUUGACAAACUUGCAUCUCUAAUUGACUUAAAAGCACCUCUGUGGCUGUGAAGUCCGUGUAAAUUCCAUUAACCUGUUAGGUUCAGUAACCCCAAAUCUCGAGGGGAUGUUUUCCCCAUUAGCAGAGAGGGUCUGGCUGUCAGAAGUGUUGGUGAGCCGGAUGCCUGUAAGGUUCCUGUUCUCGAAAGCAAACUUGCCUCCGCUUUGUGUAGUAGGGAGCUGCACUGUUCCCCUGCUUCUUGCUUUUAGUGUGUGGUCGAGCUCAGAGCAGCUCGUCCAAGCGAUCUUUGAGGGCUAUCAAAAAGGGAACUGAAGACUGUAACUGGUGUUACCGGUAAGAAGGUUAGGACGGUUUGAUCGUGGUAACUACUUAUAGGAUCUCUAACUGUUUUUUUAUUCCAGUCUGGCAAUGUAGGAGAUACCUACACUGUAAAAUUCUAUCACAGCAAAAAGGUACCUUUAUCUCGUGCUCGAAAGAUGAGUCAUCUCUGAGAUACCAAAUAAAUGGGGCGAUAUUUAUUUGUUUGGGCAGUGUGUUUUAUAUCAUGCCUCACACUAAAGCAAAUAAGUGGUUUUGUUGCCCAUUUGAUCUCAGUGUUCCUUUUCAGUCCAGAAACCUUAUAUUUCGUGGUUCUUAUGAAUUUUCUUACCAUCUAGUAAUGCAUAUAGGUGUGGCUUGUAUUUAAAACACAAACAAAAGAAACAACAUAACCCUAAAAUUUCCUUUUCUAAUGCAUCAUUUUGCUUUACUGUUUCCAGUCCAUUGUUAUCCUACACAUGCCACUUAGAUGAUAAAUUGGCUAUAAUAUAUUAAAAACGCUUGUUUUUCUUCAAUAUUCUCUAGCUGGACAGCUGAUAGUAGCCAUGACUAUAAAUAUCGCUCUGGUAGAUAUCUGAUCUUAAACUUUAUAGAACAAUUUUGUAUUGGAGAAUCAUAUCUAUUUGGAAGAAUCUGUGCAACAAGACUCUGACUGUGAAAGAAUAGUUAUCCUUGGUGUAUUUGAUCCAUUUUGAAAUGAUACUAGGAUCUGUAGUUAUUUAUGUAUUACUAGCGAAGUGAUCAGAAAGCUUUAAAUAUACCAGUGGUGUGGUUUGCAUAAGGAAAUUGCUGAGUGCCUCUGUUUCAGAAUUUGCUUUUUAUGCUGAUGAGAGGACCUUUAUCUUUUUACUGCAUAUCUUUUUCUAUUGUGUGUAUUUUUUUUUAAUUUCUUCCCUGAGGAAGAAAUGGGGGGUGUGUGGGGUGAUAUAGGAGGAGGAAUAGGGGCUGGUACCUGGGGCUUUUUUCCCCACAAUUGCCCUUCCCUUGUCCCUACUACAGAUGCUGGGUAAGUGAAUAUCACCAGAGAGAUGCGUAGCUUAUUCAUGGCUUGAUGAACUUGCAUAUGGUGAAAAUGCAUCAGAAUUUUGAGUACAUCUGAUCAAAAGAGCAUACGGAGUCAGCUGUCAUCAAAUCUGAAGGAAUGCGGCUCACAUCAGGACUCUACAUGUGCUGUAACUGGUCUUUCAGAUCUCUCUCAAUCUCUUUACAGCAUCUCUGCAUCACGCUGCUCUGGGAUAGCUCUCAGAGAACACAUAUACAGAUAGAUCUAAAAUAAAUAAUAAAAUCCAAUGCCAUCGUACGUGGAGGUUGGCAGUUGUAAAACUGACGACCCAGCGGUGCAGCUGGCACUUGGGGGUACCUCUCGUCAGGAGAGCGAGCAGACGGUGGCGCGAGUUGCUCUCAGUGGAGGUGUAACAAAGGCUGUUGUGGGUAUCUUGUUGGAGUUGGUGGGUAGUGGGGGCUGCAGGCUGAAUGUAGGAAGUUGGUUCUGUCUUGCUGCUCUGAUAGCGAUUGGAUUUAGGAUUUCUCCGUGUGCGGUGCAGUCUGGGCUCCUGACUAUAGCUCUAUCUCAUAUAAGAGAGGGGAGGACAGUGUCUUCUGGGAAUUGCUAAGCAGUUGUGUUAGUGGUGCCUUCAGCAGUUAAACAAACAAAAUCCCUCUCUUCUUGUGGAAUCUUUCUGCUGAUUCUGGUAGUUUUUUGGCUUUUGUUUUUUAAUUCCUCUUCUACCCAUUGUUGUUCCUGAAAGCAGGCUGGUUUAAGAAUUCCUUUGUCUUUUCUGUGUUCAGGUCCUUUAAAUUUGCUGAAAAUGCAACAUAACUUCAAAUGAGCUAGUGCGUUAUCUCUGUUACAUCUUGGUGUUUGUACUCCUUGUUUGUUAAUGUGAAGUAGGGUGUUACACAGUCCUGCUGAAAGUGAAGCCCAUUUGAUCUUUGGCUGCAGAGUCUCGAUAUUGAAUGAAACUGUUUUCACUGCAGAGGAAUUAGUAUUUUCCCCUGAUUUUAGUGUCAGCAAUGAUUUUCCAGCUACAGGAAUGAGAAUAUUGUAUGUAGAAUGAAGGCUGUGUUCUUCUCAUGGGAUGUUCAGCCCCAUUCUCAUUAAAGUUAAUGAAAAUACAUAUACUUCCUAGGUAGUGUGACUCAUGGUUAAAAACAUUCUCCGUUUAUUUAUUGUAUGGCUUCCAUUAUACAGCAUUCCUGCUUAUCAGUCGUAUCAUACUAAAAAAAAAAAGUCACCGAAAACCAGAAGCAAAGACAGAACUUAUUUCAGUCACAGAACAACCGAAGGUGUUUUGUAAGGGGGUUUUGGGUUACCAUUAUCAGACCACGGGUCGGGGAGAGGGAAGAAGGGAAAUGAACGUUAAAUGCUCAUUCUCAGUAAUGUAAAUACUUUUUGUAUUCACAACCUUUUUAUUAUUAUUAUUAUUAUUAUUUACAUUUGUCUGCCAGGUACUUGAGGUGCUGCUCAGCCUGCCUUUAUGCAUGUCUGGCCUGUAGGUCUGGUGCCUUUAGACACUGUUGCUGUGUACUGGCAAACAGAAGAUAGAAUGGGUGUAAGUUUCUGCAUAUAAUUUCUUGCAACGUAGUGUUUUUAUAUGAUACUUCGUGUGGAGGUAUCUGGGAGAAAGAAACCUAAGUAGUGCGUGGUCAGCUGGAAAAAUAAAAGAAAGAAUUGUGCAAUUUAAGAAGUGGGUUAUGGGCCUUUCUGUAAGGACGAUCACCAGACCCAAGGCCUUCCAGAAGCCAGGCCACCCUUGUCUUCAUCUCUUACAGAUGGUGAGUUAGGUCUGCUGUGUGUUUGUAUGUCUAUAAACACUUUUUUUUUUUUUUGAGUUUUAUAUACUUUAGGAUACUGCUUUAUUCUUGUGCAGGUAGGCUACGGUUUUUCAAUUACUUUCAGCCAUGAACUUGGAUCAAACCUGAUAACCAAAGGAGACCAUGCUUCAGCCUGAAGCAGAGGGCCUGCCCAGGCCCCGUCUUCCUACUGAUACUGGGCGCAGAUAAAGCCUUUUGGCCAGCGACUGGGCAGCACUGGUGCAGCAGAGGAGGCGGCAGGGGCUUAAUGCAGCUGUGCUUUGCUGGGCCUGUGGCCUCAAAUGCAGCACAGAGCAUCUCUGUGCUGUCCCAACUUGUCAGGAGGAGGAAUAGAAUAAAAGCUGGAAUUCUUCAUGAUGAGAAAUGCAGUAUCAACAUAAUCAAUCUAGCAGCAUUAUGUUGUAGCUGAAAACAUGCUUAAAUCCCAAGCCAUACAGGUACCUUUUGUGAGUGAAACAUCUUUCAUAUAGUUCUAAGAUGAAAUUACCCCUGAAUGAAUAGCAUCUUCAUUUAUCUUCAAAACCUCUGCGCUACCAGUGAAUCUACUCUUUCCACAUUCUACAACUAGAAUUACAUUAUACCAUUAGAGCAGUGUUGGGCUGCAGUCUAAAAUAGAUUGUUUUGGAAAAUGAACAUGGCUUUGCUAUAAAUUACGUUCACAGGUACAAAGGAAUUUGUUAUUUUGUUUAAAAUAGUCACAAAUAUAAUUAAGCUCUUAAUUUAUGUUAAACUACAAAUGUGGCCAUUACCAUAACUGGAUUAGGAAUUUAAUCUGUCACUCAAAGAAUGAUACUGAACAGUUUUCAUUUAUAACCUUAGACAUACUAUUUCAGUUACAGGGUCUGCAGCUGUUUGAUAUGAAAACUGAAUUAUUCUGUAGAUUUGUUCAUGGUUUUUAAUUUUAAAAUGUGUUCCUGCAAUAAAGUAGAGAAUAACUC
Molecule: long non-coding RNA, 4553 nt
Organism: Cygnus olor (mute swan)
Lineage: Eukaryota; Metazoa; Chordata; Aves; Anseriformes; Anatidae
Exons: 2
Source: RefSeq, a predicted model, not a curated record